GAGGAGGUAGAAUAUCUAGAAGAAGAUAUGGUGCCGAUUGCCCCACCUCCGUAUGUGGGGGGUGCCAAGGUUCCGGGAGAUCUUUUCAUGCACAAGUUUGGAGGACAGUUAAUACAGAUAUGGGACUUGCAUACCCUGUAUUUCAGGACAAUAACAGGGGAAGAUAUCAUGAGCCUUUAGACUUUAAGAUAAUUAAAACCUUGGCAGAAUCUGUCCGCACUUAUGGCAUAGAUGCCGCUUUCACUCUCACUCAGGUGGAGGGACUUACUAGAUUUUGCAUGACUCCCUCAGAUUGGGCUAGUCUAGUGUGCGCUUGUGUUUCCCCAGGGAAAUAUUAGGAGUCCAAAGUUGGCUGUUUAAUGUUUCUGGCAGUACCCAAGACUCGGAGUGAGAUCCAGAGUCAUUUCCUAUUGUUGAACUGAUUGGAGCCCGUAGAGAUUUUGGAAUUACGGCAGCUAUGGUGACAGCUGUGGCGAUAUCUGCUGCUGCAGCAGUUACAGCUGGAGUAGCCAUGGCCAGCCAGGUACAAACUGCUGCCACUAUUAAUCAGGUUAUUCAACAAACAUCCACCAUACUUGAGUCUCAAAGUAAAAUUAAUCAACACACUUUAUCUGGGAUUCUAGCUGCUAAUCAAAGGAUAGAUCUGCUUCAAGCUCAAGUUGAGGAAUUGUCUGACCUAGUACAUUUGGGUUGUAUUGAUCAACGUGCACAUUUAUGUAUAACCUCUGUCAGAUUUUAUGAUUCCAGAAAUGCCUCCCGCAUCAUCGGGGAAUAUUUAUCCGGAACCUGGUCCAUGGAAGCAGAAAACUUGAUCCAGUCUCAACUAACUCAGAUUGCUGUUCUGAAUAGCACCCGUGUCGAACCAGUGACUUUGGGUCAAUUCACCAGUUGGCUAUCCUCUGCCUUUCCUUUUUUAAGGAAUGGGUGGGAGUGGGCAUUUUUGGUGCAAUGUGUUGCUUCGGUGUUGUACUUUGUUUGUGGCUUCUCUGUCGCCUUAAAACUCGCCAUGCACAAGAAAAGGCUAUGAUCAUACAAGCUCUUGCAGCUUUAGAAAAUGGCAACUCACCUCAAGUCUGGCUUGCGCAUCUUAAGCAGUAAACCUUUGUCAUGGUCGUUACACCCCAAGUUAUUAUAACAUUGCACUGGGAUCGACAUGACUUUCCUUGUUAUUCUCUUAGUGUUGGAAAGCCCUUGCACUCUGCCGGUCUUACUGCCAUUGCACGCAGAUGGGUUUCCACACUAGUGCUUUUCUAUCGUCUUAAAGUCCGUGCCUUUCUUUCAGGGUGCUGUCAACUUGUUUGUCGUUAUAAACAGCCACAGUUCAGCCUCAGCUAUCCCCCUUCGUCCACCAUCGUCACGAUACAGGAUGCGAGGCAAGGCACUGCACUUGAGUGAUCCUUGACGUGGACCUCAAGGAGAGCAUGUCCUAUUGCAUGCGGGUUAGACGCGUCCACGCCCCGCCCCACGAAAAAAGGCGUCGGCUGAUAUGGCUUCAGAUCUGGGGAAGGCGCCUCCUUAGGACUGAGUCAUACUAUGCAGCCACUUCUGCACAGUGGGAUAGGACCUCUACUCUCGCCUGUAUUGUUUUAAGAAAACAGAAAGGGGGAACUGUGGUGAGCCGCUUCUGCCGUUUCUGCAGACUAUGGUCGCCAUUACAAGAUGGCGCUGGCUCCGCUGUGGUCUGUGACAAACAACUCCUUAUCUGGGAGAGUUGGCACAUGAUUUUUCACCACCCUGUACACCACCCUGUGAGAAAGCUCCACGCGGCAGCUUUGCAUUGGGGCUUGGGAUGCUUUAUUAAGGCUGGGAGGGGCAUCAGAGAGAGAAAAGAAGAAAUAUCAAGGGCCUGAAUAAACUGCUGAAAGAAGA
Marmota monax (woodchuck) is the source of this 1869-nucleotide long non-coding RNA. RefSeq lists it as uncharacterized. Lineage: Eukaryota; Metazoa; Chordata; Mammalia; Rodentia; Sciuridae. The transcript has 2 exons. The record is from RefSeq and is a predicted model, not a curated record.